This 203-nucleotide long non-coding RNA is filed under the name Elaeis guineensis (African oil palm). RNAcentral describes it as "long non-coding RNA (EGUI_LNC011259)". The record is from RNAcentral. Lineage: Eukaryota; Viridiplantae; Streptophyta; Magnoliopsida; Arecales; Arecaceae.
CGGUUGACAACCAAGUGUAUGAAAUUGUGUAUGUUUGCCGAGCACAAAGAGAUAUUUCGCUAGUACAAGGAUCUAGUUACGAUUGGAAGAACAACCAACAUUCGCUGAUGACAGUGAGUAAUGACAGUGAGAUUCCAUAAUGACUAAUAGAAAAUACAGAGCCUCAGCAAGGCACUACUGAUAUUGUUAUAACCCAGUCCAAA